Molecule: ribosomal RNA, 497 nt
Filed under: uncultured bacterium
Lineage: Bacteria
Description: partial 16S ribosomal RNA
Rfam family: Bacterial small subunit ribosomal RNA
Source: RNAcentral
GAUGAACGCUGGCGGCGUGCCUAAUACAUGCAAGUCGAGCGAACGGACGAGAAGCUUGCUUCUCUGGUGUUAGCGGCGGACGGGUGAGUAACACGUGGAUAACCUACCUAUAAGACUGGGAUAACUUCGGGAAACCGGAGCUAAUACCGGAUAAUAUUUUGAACCGCAUGGUUCAAAAGUGAAAGACGGUCUUGCUGUCACUUAUAGAUGGAUCCGCGCUGCAUUAGCUAGUUGGUAAGGUAACGGCUUACCAAGGCAACGAUGCAUAGCCGACCUGGGAGGGUGAUCGGCCACACUGGAACUGAGACACGGUCCAGACUCCUACGGGAGGCAGCAGUAGGGAAUCUUCCGCAAUGGGCGUAAGCCUGACGGAGCAACGCCGCGUGAGUGAUGAAGGUCUUCGGAUCGUAAAACUCUGUUAUUAGGGAAGAACAUAUGUGUAAGUAACUGUGCACAUCUUGACGGUACCUAAUCAGAAAGCCACGGCUAACUACGUG